This 230-nucleotide long non-coding RNA is filed under the name Ananas comosus (pineapple). RNAcentral describes it as "long non-coding RNA (ACOM_LNC026510)". The record is from RNAcentral. Lineage: Eukaryota; Viridiplantae; Streptophyta; Magnoliopsida; Poales; Bromeliaceae.
UAGUCGGAUUGCAACGAGUAAGAACAACGUGCAACAAAUUGAGACAGGAUGUUGGCGGAUCAACGAGUUCGUAAAAUAAGACGAGAUCAGAUUCUGGUAAUCACAACAUUAAUUCCGCACCAUAAAGAGGUAUGUAAAAAUCUAUGUGAUUUUUGCAACGAUUGUUUUUUGGGUGUUUAAUUACUUUUAUCCAACAGUGGUAUCAGAGCCUUAAAGUGCUUGUUUUCGCU